CGGAAAAGCUGCUCAGUAGGUGGUCGUUGAUUACUUGUAUGUAUAGAACAAGCUAAAAGAUUCAUUUGACGAAAAGGGUAUAAAAAGAAGGAGAUAAACGUAACCCCUAGUUUCUAAAGGGGUCUCCUAUCUUUCUUCGAAAAAUAGAAAUGGUGCCACUUGAGAGCAAACAGGGCGAAAGAUCCAAGAAAUGCUAAUCCAGCGAUUAACAGCCAUCAACAGCAAAAUAAGCGAGUCAGAAUGGAAGAUCAUCAACAAUGAAGAUAAAACUCAAAAUUUAAAAAUCAGCAAAAAGGAUGGAAAACUAGGCUCAUGGAAAAGUAAAGCUUCUGGAAUGGGAUAAAGAAACUAUAUUUGUCCAUAUGUAAAUAGUGUAUUUAGAUGUAUUGAUUUGUUACAAGGAAAUAAAACUCCUUCAUGGUUUA
Non-coding RNA from Parasteatoda tepidariorum (common house spider), 425 nucleotides. NCBI's taxonomy places the organism in Eukaryota, Metazoa, Arthropoda, Arachnida, Araneae, Theridiidae. The record is from RefSeq and is a predicted model, not a curated record.